Molecule: non-coding RNA, 21 nt
Filed under: Caenorhabditis elegans
Lineage: Eukaryota; Metazoa; Nematoda; Chromadorea; Rhabditida; Rhabditidae
Source: RNAcentral
UUGGAAAUGUAGGACCCUUGC